Molecule: small RNA, 585 nt
Filed under: Pan troglodytes (chimpanzee)
Lineage: Eukaryota; Metazoa; Chordata; Mammalia; Primates; Hominidae
Description: processed transcript
Source: RNAcentral
GAUGUGAUGGAGGGCACGGGUGCUGGGCUUCCCCCUCAUGGGUAAAACCAGAGCUGCUGUAUGCCAGCCGUGGAGGCAUGGACAGCCCCUGAGCUCGGACAGCAGACGGACAGACCGUUGACGCGUUGGCACCGUGGCCAGAGUCCGUUCAAGAAAGGUCAGCAGAGAGGGCUGAGAACGCGGCAGGCACAUCCUCCAAGGGCCCUGCUGGAACCCCUGGAGCAAGAGGAAGCGGUGAUUCUCCAGGCCUUGGACCUAAUUAUGGAGAGAGAGACACGGAGGGAGCUCCUGUGACCCUCAAGUCCCCUCAUCACGUCCCCGUGCCGUUGGCUUUCCGAGUUUAGCUCCCAUGUUUGGACCAUGGAGGUUUAUGUCUUCUAUCUGCCAUAUCCCUCACAGUAGGGCCUGUGAAGUCAUCAUCCCUGCCACAUGCCCAACCAGACAUGCUGACAUCACAGGCCCUACUCAGCCCUCUUUCCUCUCCCCUUGGCCUCACCUUCAUGUCAGGGGGUGUCCUCUGGUCUGACUCAGGGGCAGUGACUGGCUUCCUUCCAGUACCUUCUCUGGAUAAUGAGUAUGGAUGAC